CUUUGUGAAAAGACUUCGUUUAUGAUUUAGGCUGUGGAUAUGUCAGCUCCCCGGCAAGGAUUAGGUUUGUGAGGGCUGGCCAUGGUGGCAGCUCCAGUGACAGUGGUCAGCAGUCCUCUCUUUAGGUGCUGUGAACAGGACAUGAUAUACUUUCACCUGACAAGUGCACUUUAGUCCUUUACCCUGACUCCUCCCGUGUGUGGCCUGGACUGGUGGUGUGCUUCUCCAGGUGAGAGCCCUCCCUAGCAGAGCAGGAUCUAUUUAAAAAAAAAAAAUGGAGCAUCAGGCCUUUCUAGCCUAUCUGGAAGACAGUGGGAGGAAGGAGGGCAGGCAAGGAGCUGGGGACUAGAUAGCAGGUAGACACUCAUGAUUUACAAAAGACAGGAAGCCUUGUGUGAUUUCAGACAAGUUCUCUUCCUUUAGAAUGUUGUCUGCAUUGCUAGCUGAAAAUAGUAGAAACCUUAGAAAUUGCUAGACAUAAAAAAAAAAAAAUGACUGGAGGGUUGUAAUAAGGAGGCUAUGUUUAUAUUUUUCAGGUUAUUGAUAUCAGAAGUAGUAAGAGACUACACUUAUAAUAGAUACUUAUGGUUGAAUUAGUUUAAAAGAUGACUAGAAAAACUCCACUUUUCAUUUAAAACUUUCUUUUGUUUUAGUUCUCAAUACUAAUAUUGGCUGUUGUUUUUAACUAAGGCUGAAUCUAAUUUGUCAGUCUGGAGUGUCAUUUUCAAUGUCAACUUUUAGCUGUGUGGUAUAAAAACUGUAUUUUUGUUUGAUAGUUUCUUUUAAAUUUUACUAAAAUAAUUGUUUCUCUUCUGAGGGCCUUUUUAUGAAUGUGAAGCUUAUUGAAGAUAUAUGAUCAUUCAGUAAAACCUAGCUAGUAGUUUUAGGGUAGAAACGUGUAUUUUCCCAACACAGCACCUUUUCCUUAUCAUCUAUUCUGUUAACCAAAACAAUGCCCAAGAAAGGUAAAAUGUGUAUAAUAUAUAUGUGUGUACAUAUAUGAUUUUACCUCUUAAUAAUCUACUGCAGACAAUCCGCAUUGGUUGUAAUUUGAAAAAUUAUAGAAUCUCAGAGGGUAUUAGUAAGUUGAAUAAUUCAUUACUACACAUGAAUAAAAAUAAGUAUUAAUUGAACUAAAUUAUUCAAUUGAAAAUUUGGAUACUUUGGAAAACAUAAAAGCUUUAGGAAGUUUCUGGAUACAACCUUUGCUUUGAAAAUCCUCCCGAAGUAUAGUGCGUGUUCAUGAAUUCCACUAUAUUUAUAGGCUAAAAGUAAACAUGCAUCAAUAUUAUUUUCUAGAACUCAUACCAAGACUAGUUUUGUUUGAUUAGUACUUGGAAAUAAACUGAUGAAGACUUGAUAGAGGUCUCAGGACACCCACCCUCUUCAGUAGAAAGAGCUCAUUAUUGGAAGGUGUUUGUGCUCUUUAGUUUUGCUUUUCUGCUGAAAUGUGUCUGCAGAGCAUCUAAUUUCUAGGUAAAUUUAAGGGUUAUCAGCUCAUUUUCAAUAAUUAAACAAAGUGAAAGAUCUGUUGAUUCUUUCUUAUUACCCCUGUUGUCCUUUGGCUUUAUGCCUGUGUCAACUUUAAUUUCUGAUUACAGAGCCAGUGCUUCAGUAAUUGGCUCUUAGAAAAUGAAAUAGCUACUAAAAGAUAAAACUUUUAAAACCUAUGUUUCUAAAUUUAACUGGCCAUUAUAUGCUCUUACUUUUCAGGCAUCCUGUGCUUUGCAAUUAAUUCAACAAAUAUUUUGGCUGCUUAUUUCAUGGGAGAAGUUCACCUAAGAUUCUAGAUGGGAUAUAGAAAUGAAAUGCAUAGGUGCCUUGCCACAAAUAAGCUUAUUGGUGGUGAUGAUUGGCAAUUUGGAUUUAUGCUCUGACCUAUUUUCUGUUCUGUGAGUGGUGACAGAGAGUCCAAGAUCUUAGUUUUUUGUUUUGGUAUUACUGUUUUUUUUUUUUUUAAUCUGUGCACUCAAAGAAAUUCUUUGAGAUCAGCACUAAUGAGGUUUUUUGUUUGUUUUUCUGAUUAUUUUGAUCUGUGUCUAAAGCUGUAGAACUGAAUGUAAAAGGUAGAACUGAAGUUGUAGAACUCUAUGUAUCUGUGUCUGUAAUUCAGGAAAAAUCCACUUAUCAUGUGAUUAUAAUGUAUUUUCCUACCCUUUCCAGGUAUAGUUCAUUAGAUUGUUAUGAAAUUUAUAGAUGUUUUUCCUUAAUGGUUAUAGAGGUAAAUAAAGCAGUUGUAUAGAGUCAAUAUUCCCCAAAUUCACACACCUGAAAGCUGAUCUUCUAAUACUGUGCUAGACUUAAAAUAGCCUUCAUACAGAAACUACUAAAUAAAAAUAGUUAAGACUACAAGUUCACAAAUUAAGGUGAAUAGUUGAAUACAUUAGAUUGACUUAGUAAUUUUACCUUAAGAAAACCGUUAUACAGCUUUUCUCUGAUUUUUCAGUUUUAAGCAUAGUAUAUGCAUACAUUACUCCUACAUAGUGUUUGAGAUUAUAAAAUAUUUUCAAAUAUAUUUAACAAUAAUUUAGACCAUUGAUUUUAUAGAAGUUAUAACAUUUGCUAAAAGUCAUAACUAACUUCACUAAAAGCAAUGGUGACAAAGGAACACAAGUGUGUAAGUGCUUUUGCUUCUCAAGAAAAAAAGUAAGACUAGUGUUUUCCUAAAGUAAAUUAUUAGUUAGUUCCAGUAAAGGAAGAUUUGUGAAAGAUAGUGAGUAUGGCAAGUUGUAGGGUGAUUGAGGAAAGUAAAUUUUAUUUGGCUUGCUUUAUAAUAUCUGAAUCUGAUAAGAAAUAAUGAAAUGUAUUAAAUAUUUAGCAGAGUUUGCUCAGUGUUGAUAGAGUUAUUCACAAGACAGUUUAAGGAACUAGAAGGAUCCCAUGAAAACUUCGCUGCCAAGGACUGCACUAAUACAAAACUGGAAAGUAAUUCACUCUAUUUAAAUAAUAAUUUUCUCUUAGAAUUAACCAAGAAUGAAAAGGUUUUCUUUACUUGCUGUGAGUAAUUUUCCUAUAGGUCAGAGAUUUUGUACCUCAGCAAUAAUUUUCUCAGAUUUGUGUUGACCUUAACAUGUCCUUGGUUAUUUACAAAAACAAAAUAAAACAAACAUAUGCAAAACAAAAAAAAAUCAAUAAACAGUAAAGAAUCAAUGUUUGGUUUCUCUUUAUGAAGAACCAAAGUUUCCAUAUACUUUACCACCUUGAUUAAAUAAGUAACCAGGUAUUGUUUCUCAUGCUCCCAUGCUCCUAUCUUAAUUAAUUAAGCAAAUCUCCUCUGACAGCUUGAUUUUGCUUUCCCUGGAUUUGAUCCUAAAUUUAGAAAAAAAAAUUCAGGAUAUCUUUUACACUGAAAAUUAUCUUUGCAGUUUUCCAAAGGGCCCCUGGAAAGCUUUAAUAGGUUAAGUUUUGCAUUUUUAAAAUGAUUUUUAUUUUUUCCAUUAUAGUUGAUUUACAGUGUUCUGUCAAUUUCUACUGUACAGCAAAGUGACCCUGUCAUACAUAUAUAUGUGUGUGGGGGGGUGUAUAUGUAUAUAUAUAAAUAUAUAUAUAUAUAUAUAUUCUUUUUCUCACAUUAUCCUCCAUCAUGUUCUAUCACAAGUGACUGGAUAUAGUUCCCAGUGCUCUACAGCAGGAUCUCAUUGCUUAUCUACUCCAAAUGCAAGAGUUUGCAUCUAUUAACCCCAGACUCCCAGUCCAUCCCGCUCCUCCUCCCCCUUGGCAACCACAAGUGAAAAGGCCCUGGAAAUUUGUCAGUUCUUAAUAUAUUUUUAUUCUCAGGGAAAGUGUAUGAAAUAUUUAUGCCUUCUAUCCCAAGAGCUAAUUUUACUAUUGUCCGUUGUGCUAUUAUUGGCUGUUGAAAUAAGUUAACCACUGUCACGAGUCUCAUUAUGAAAUAGAGUUCUUUUCUCCAGUACUUGACUGAUGGCUCUGCUCUAAGCUAUAGGCUAGGAUUUCAGAAGAGUUUCAGAAUCUGUGGAAAGGACUGUACAGCACUCUGAACUACCUCACUUCAGUAGACAGGCUUGAGUGCAGGCUUCCAAGUGGACACUGUUAGACAAUGUUCAGACUUUACUAGGGACAGUCAGGAUUUCCAGGCCUUUCUUCUCUUCAGUGGAGCAAGACUUAAUCACUGAGGACUGAAUGAACUGAGAGAAAUUUAUUUGUGGUUAUUGUUGGUACUGUUUGAAUACUCUGUUCUUUUUGGUUAUAUGAGGAAGCCCUUUCUCUUUCUUGAGAUGUACCCAAGUCUAAGUUUAAUUUACUUUGGUAAACUGAAAUGAAAUUUUUUUUUCUUUAGGCAAAGAAUGAGUUUAAUAUUAUAGAGCACUUGUGAGAAAAACAAAUGGGCAGGCAAAGGAGUUCAGCCCCAAGAACAAAGAGGGCUCCAUUUUUAUAUCAAAGAAGUGGGGAGAGGAGACCACCUUCUUCCUCAUUUUGGGGUAGACAUUAAGGCUGAGAUGAGGCAUUUUAAUGAUGAGUGAUUUUCACUUGUCCCUUGGGAUUCUUGACAACCUAAUUAUUUGGAUAGAUUCAUAGAAAUCUUGCCCAACCCCAUUUUUUUACCAGAAUAUAAUUGGAAAAAUCCAUUGUGUAACAAGUAUCACAAUUGAGAGUGUUUGUCCCUUAGGAUUCUUGACAGCCUAAUUAUUUGGAUAGGUUCAUAGAAAUCUUGCACCCCCCACCUUUUUUUACCAGAAUAUAAUUGGAAAAAUCAAUCGUGCAACCAGUAUCACAAUUGAGAGUGUUUGUCAUUUAACCAGGCAUGAAGAACCCACUAUUAGAGAACAAGUACUUCCUUGGAAGCCUGUAUGCAAGACUAUUUAAUGUGGAUUAGUGCCUACAAAGUCCUUCCAAGAACCUUGGCUUUGGAACUGGCUUAUUAGAGCCAGCCUCCCAACUGGAAUGGUCUGCCAGCUGAGAGAACUGAGAAAAUGUUGGAAUUCAGGAAGAGAGUAUAUAUACACAUACACCCCGAUACAUAGAUAUUAAAGGUGAAACCUAUUGGAGAAAGUGUCUUGCAUUUGGUCUUCUAGACUCACCAUAAAAAGUAAUUGAAGUUUGAAAAAAUCUAAUCCAGGUUUCCCAUUGUGGCACAGUGGAUUAAGAAUCCAACUGCAGCAGCUCAGGUUACUGCGGAAGUGUGGGUUGGAUCCCUGGCCUGGCACAGUGGGUUAAAGGAUACAGUGUGGAUCCCAGCUGUGGCUUGGGCUCAGUCCCUAGCCCAGGAGCUUCCAUAUGCUGUGGGUGUGACCAUACAAUUAAAAAAACAAAACAAAACUAAACUAAUCCCAUACAAGAUCCUCAAUGAAAAGUCCAGGCAGUAGUUAAUUCUCAGUUCUUCAUAGUUGUUUAGUACUGUAAGGCCUUGAAUUUGCAGAGCAAACUCAAGAAGGCCUGUCUGUUUAAUUAGCACUCUUGCUGCAUUGCAUCUCUGUGUAUAAUUAGGCCAAACCUAAUGAGGCUAGACUUUCUGUUUAAAGAACAAUCUGUGGGGAUUAUUUAUGAUCAAGGGGUAGGAAUAUCAGAAAAAUAUUCUGAAACAUAAAAAUGGGCAGGCUUUCCUGGGUGUUUCUUCAGUACAGUUUUACCUUUGAUUUUUUGUUUUCCUGGCUAUUGUAUAACUUUGUUGGGGAAGAGGUCAAUUUAUAGAUUAUUAUCUGGUAGAGAUGCAGGUAAAUUUUGCCUGGUAAAAAAGGUGAUUCAAAAAAUAUAGUUUAUUACCCCUUUGGACAUUAACCCAUUUUGUAUCUAGUCCAGCAAUCUUAUCCUAACACAACUUUCUAAAACUGACUUUCAAUGCCUCACUCUUCAGUUUCUCAUUUUAACAUCUUACUGGUUUCUUCAUUAAUUGCUGUGUGUACAAAAUCUUUGACAUACGUUGUUUUACAUUUACAUGUGAGUCAUGGUUUUACCUUUUUGAAAGUUGUACUUUUCUAGCCCUGAGAAACUGGGGGCAGGAUGUGUCAUUUAUCCAAGCAGAGAAUUCUGAGGAAUAAACAGGUCAGGGACAGGAAUGAGAUGACUGGAAAAAAAUUAAACAUACUGUUUUGGAAAUAUUUAAUUCAAAACAGAUCUUUGUUCGCCUGAGAAAGUUUAUAGUAGUGUGAAGCAACAGGACAUAGAGGAAGACUAGCAAACUCGACCUUGCAUAGCAGCCAGAAUCACAAAGGUGUGGAGAGAUAUGUGUGCAAGGUGUAAUAGAAGGCACAGUCAACAAAACCUUUGGAAAAAUGACAGCCUAGCACUUCAGAAAGAUUCAACUGAUGUCAAUGUGUAUGAUGACUUGUCAAGAGGGAAUCUAGGAUCGAUGGAUGGGAGGAAAGUAUUAGAAUUUACAUAAUUUGGGGAGUUUCUGCAAUGGCUCAGUGGUAGUGAACCUGAUUAGUAUCCAUGAGGUUGCAGGUUCAAUCCCUGGCCUCACUCAGUAGGUUAAGGAUCUGGCAUUGCCGUGAGGUGUGGUGUAGGCCACAGACACAGCUUGGAUCCUGCGUUGCUGUGACUGUGGUGUAGACUGGAAGCUGCAGCUCUGAUUUGACCCCUAGCUUGGGAACCUCC
RNAcentral lists this long non-coding RNA (6555 nucleotides) under Sus scrofa (pig). Its description in RNAcentral is "lncRNA (ENSSSCG00060006704.1)". The record is from RNAcentral. Lineage: Eukaryota; Metazoa; Chordata; Mammalia; Artiodactyla; Suidae.